Long non-coding RNA from Bubalus bubalis (water buffalo), 1823 nucleotides. RefSeq lists it as uncharacterized. The transcript is spliced from 4 exons. NCBI's taxonomy places the organism in Eukaryota, Metazoa, Chordata, Mammalia, Artiodactyla, Bovidae. The record is from RefSeq and is a predicted model, not a curated record.
CUGGAGACUCCUAUGGAUGGAGGAGCCUGGCGGGCUGCGGCUCAAAGCGUCGCCAAGAGUCAGACACGACAGAAGCGACUUAUCCUGCACGCAGGAGGAAGUGAGCAAGGCCCUGAGAGACAUCUGGACCACAGGGCACACGGUCUGGAAGGUGAGGACAUCGAGGAUCAGAUGGCCCCUCUCUCUACUUGCUCCUGGGGUGGGGCAGUCGUCCCCGCUUCUCUCCAGGGCUCCCCUGCUGGCCAGCUCUCUCUCCUCCCUCAUAGGUCCGGCCCCUUUCUCUCUCCGGCUUCUUUGGGGGUCGAAGUCACCCCACCUUCAUCCCAGCUGUGACUCUAGAGAUGCAGGCUUAUGGCCUCAGCUCCCGCUGCCACCAAGACCCGCCUGCAUCCCAGUUCCCAGGAGGAUGCUGCUUGGCCCAUCUUCUUGACCACGGCCACCCAGGCCACAUGCCCUUGGCAUCCGAGCAGCCGGCUGCACUUGGUCCAACAUCCACCCUGUUCCAGAUGGCCUGGGCAGGGGACGGGGGUUGGGACCGCGGUGGCUGCACAGAGGGAUGGCUGUUUGCCCGGAGGAGCUGUGGGCAGGAAGGCGCUAUCAACACAGAGGACAGCAAGGCGAAGGCAGGGAGCUUUCAUUUUGGUUUUUAUUAAUUCUCACAACUCCCCACGCGGACAGUGGGAGGAACCGGGUCUGCAGGGUCAGCAGAUCCUCUGAUGAACAGAAUGUGCAACUCUUUCCAGCGUGAUUAGUUUCACUUUUUUUUUUUUUAAUCUGUGAAUUGUUGGGUCAAUUCCCAACAUCAUGAAGAGCCAGGUUUUGUUCAUCUUGGCGUCCAAAUGAUGUUUUCGAAAUCGGAACUAAAAUAAAGCAGUAACAAGACGAAAGAAGCAACAUCCUGUUUUAUGGAGGGUCUGAUUAAAAAAAAAUACGUGAGAAAAAACACUCUGUGUGCCGAGUAAACAUUUACCCCCCCAACCCCCCACACUGUUGGGAGAUGGAGUAUCUGACCAGGACACGAGAAGACGAGUCUCAGGAUGGGCACAUCACCCCUCCCCCUCCCCGAGGCCUUGGCAUGACUCAUUGGUCACGUUGCCUGGUACCAUGCAGUCCCCGCCCUCCUGAGGGCUGCGGCAGACGGAAUGUCACCACAGAUGGAGAAGAGCUCAAUCAAGCACAGGUUCUGGGACCUUGACCCCGAGAGGAUGUGCAUUUUUAGCAGGUCAGGCGGAGGCCCCUCCCGGCGUGGGCAGGCGUGAGGGUGCCCCUCGCACUCCCCUGCAUCCCCACCCGUCACCCUGGCUGCGGCGCUCUUCCCCGGGGGUCAUUGUGAAGGUGAUGUGGGUUGCGUGGCGAUGCCGGGAAAAACUCACACACCUGGGUGAAGCACGCAGACUGAUGCUGACGCCGGACAGCGAGAACAGCCGAAGUCUUAUCAGAGGAGUCCCCAGCCCAAGUCCACCUGGUGCCAAUUCUGAGCCUCUUUUCCCAUGAAUGAUGUCUGGAGACCUCUCGGCCUGGAACGUCUCAGUGAGCAGAGCUGGACCACGGCGUGGGAAGCAAGACAUAUCCGACAUCCAGCCCAGAGAGAAGGCUGGGAGCGUCGCAGCUCAGCUCUUCCAGCAACACCGAGGAGUCAGAGUCCCUAGAAACUCAUCACCGGCCAGCUCUGUUCACGCAUGCGCAAGAGCGAAAGUGUCCACUGAAGGGGGCACGUUUUACAGCAAAAUCUAGAACAGCAGGGAUGUCGGGACUUCAAAGCUCCCAUCUCCUCCUUGCUCCUCUGAUAUGGUGUCUCAGGAUUCUGGUAAGCUCAUCUCUAA